GCCCCGCCGCACGCACACCGCCGCUGUGCGGUCCUCCGGGCCGCGUGUCGGAGCCGCGUGCUGAGCUCCGUUAGCUCGGGGUCGCGCCCGCCGCCCUCCGGGGCAGAACCUUCCCCUGACCCCCCGGCAGGGCUCCGCGCCGCUGUGCCCCGAGCUGUCAGCGAGGAGCUGCAGCCGCCGCUCCUCCGCGCCUCCGCCUCCCCUGCUCUGCGCCGGGCACCCCCGGGGCGCUCAGCCCCUUCCACAGCUCCGCAGCCCUCCUUCGGGCGCUCCCCGAUCCGUCACCCCCAUAACACGAAUGUCGCUGCCCGCAUCUCCUUCAGCCGGGAGAGGGAGCCCGGGAGCGGAGCCCGGAGCCGUUCUGCCUCUGUAGCGCCUGAGGUCGCGCUCUGAUUUAUUUCCCCUCCCAACUGCAGGCGGAACGCCAGGGGAAGGCAGAGCCGUGCCAGUCCUCUGCGCGGGGUGCUGCCAUUUGGGGCCACGCGUCGGUGCUUUGUGCGCGUUCCCGUAGGCAGCGGGAUGGGGAAUGUCCGCAGCUGCGGCGGAUGCCGGCGCCGUGCUGUGAUCAGCUGCUGGUCGCGCUGGGCUGAGGAGGGGCUUAAAAACACCAACUGGGGGGGAGUGCUGGAGUUGUGAGCCGGGGUUUGUGCUGUAGGGUGCAGAGUGGGGUGGAAUUAGUGUCCCAAAGAAAGAAGGGAGAUGGGCCGGUCCAAAUGGAGCUGGUUAAUUGCUGCUGUAGCGGGGAGUAGGUGUGGGUGGUGACGGGAUGGGUAGGGACAGGCUGGCAUAAGACAAAGAGAAUAAGGGAGGAAAGCAGAAAUGAGAACACCGUAGUGAAGGACUGAGAUGGAAUGGAACGUGGGGUCAGUCCCCAGCACAGCAGCUCUGGUCUGCGCUCUCCUCGUGUGGAAAGCAUUGAACUCGAAGAGAGCAGCGGGUGGUGAAUGGGAGGAAGGGGGGAUCUGAGUCCGGAGCCAAGGCUUGGGGGCGGUUCUUGACGUGCUGGCUGUGAUGCAACAGGAGCGGUGCUGAGAGCUUCUGUUAUUUGCUCUGGGUGCUGUGGUGUCCUGUGAUUAGAAACCAGUAAAUGCAAAACACGUCUAUAAGGAAGUAAGAGCUAAAAAAUGGAAGCAGGCAUCCAGGCAGCUCUUCCCUAGCUGGGCAGUCCUGUCCUUACCUGUGGCUGCAGGAGGCUGGAAGCACCGCACUGUGUGCAUGCACACCUCCCCAGCUGACAGGGGCUGCUCUGCGCUGAGCUCCUGCCUCAUCGGAUUUGCCACACUUUGCAGGAGCUUUGGCCAGCAGCUGUGCUGCCUGACCUUGGAGCCAUGCCUGGGCCCGUGGGGAUCCCAGCCUUCCUCUCUCCUAUUGCCUGGUUGGUGCCUUUCUCAGCUCUGCUGCUGGGUGCUCCUGCCCUGCCGUUGUGUGAUAAAUGGGUGGCUGUUGGUGUUGGUUGAUAUUUAAUGAAGUCCUUGUAGUGCUCUUCACUCAUUUACUUAUCCAAACAGUCUUAAUGCCCAGCCUGGGAAAGUUAUCUUGGCUUCUUUAAGCUUUUCCACCAUUAGCAAUAAACAUUUUACUGUCUUGGCAAGCUGAGGCCCAAAAGUGAGCAUGACUUCAAACAGCAUUACUAGCAGGGAAGGCUUUAAACUGAUAUUAAAUUUCUAAACUGAGCAAACAUAACAGUCUGGUAAUAAAGAUAAUCUGUGAGCAGUGUGGGCCAAGAGGGGCUCUGGUCCCUGGGGUGCAGGCACUGCCUGCUAUUGCAGCAGCACCCUCUGCAGAGCUCUGCCCCUGCUCUGCUCUGCUCUGCUUUGCCCACGCAUGUGGCAGGCCAGAAGUGCAUGCAAAGCAAUGGAAACAGGCAGCACUAUGCAAAUGCAUGCAAAUCUGUCACAUCUGGCAUGGGAGCAGCUGCAUGCAGGCGGACACCUCACGCCCAGCUGUCAUGGGAACACGUGGUGGUCAGGCACACAGUGUGACACGGGCACGCAGCCCUACCUGGGGCUUGAGAAGGCUGCUUUCUUCCUUGGCCUUGCUAGCUUUUAGACUAGCAGUGGUUUUGCAAAGCCUUGGUGAGGAAUGUGCUUGGUGGGGCCUCUGAGUGUUUUAAAUAUCGUGGGAUUUCUGUAGUUUAAUUUUUCUCUGAACUGAGCCAGCAUCUGCCUGAUCUUCUGUUGUGUUUCCCUGUGCCUUUGCUCACCGGAAGGACAGCAGCUGUCUCUGCACGAGGAUGUGUGCCUGGCAGGAUCAGUGCUUGUGGGGGCUGUGAGUGCUGCUCAAGGACCCGUGCUGCACAGCUGAUGUCCUGCAGCAGGGCCGGUCUCCGGCCUCAGAGCCGACAGCAGCCACAGCACAGCUGGCAUUGCUCCAAGUCCAAAGCCAGAGGAAACCUCGCCAUCACGGAAUCAUCGGGUUUGGAAAAGAGCGGAAUUUCUCACACACUUGAUCAGAGACUCUAUCUUGCAUUGAAAUUUCUUCGCAAGGUAGAAACUACCUCCACACACACUGGAAAGUUCCCAUCUCCCUGGUGAUACUCACACAUCUGCCCGUUGUGCAUCUGAGGAGGCAUUGUGUUGGCCACAAUGACGUUUGUUCCCAGGUUCUCCUGGAUCAGAUGAGGAUGCAAGGGGUGGUGAGCAUGUGGCGUUUCACUUGAUGAACCUAAAAACGUGCAUAUCACUUUUGUUGCCACAAUGGCAGAGACAGCUCAGGUGGGUAGAGACACGCUGUCAAGUUGAUCUUUCAGACCCUUUAGUUUUGCUGGCUCCCUUCUGACAGAGGAGGACUGGUGGAAUGGUUGGCUGGUAGGAGUUUGGGGGUUGCAAAGUAAAGCAGCUCUUUAGGGGAAUAGAAAUGGAGUAGUCUGUGUUAUCACUGCAGUUGACAGGGGGAGAUAUUUUCAUGCUAGUCAAGGUGCUGACCUGCUUAUGGGCUGAGUCUCCGCUGUUUUCAGGUGGAGAACAAUGGCUAUGUGGGAUUGUGGGGAUGGUGACUGGGGAGCACCAAGAGUCCUCUGCAGCACCCUCACAUACUCACCUCCCAGCAGCAUCUCCUGCAACAGGUUGUCAAUCUUAGCCAUGCCGAAGAGCUUGACAAACUGGAUCUGCUCUAUCAUCUGCCAGGUGAUGCUCUGCAGCACAGGCAGCAGCAGCAGCAGCUCCCCGAAGCGGCCCCGCGAGUCGUACUGCCUGUCAUUGAUGUAGUCCUCCAGGCUGACCUGCACCUGGUACCGCAUCCGCUUGAUCUUGGAGGGAUCGCUCAGUCCUUUGGCAUCUGAAACAACACACAGAGCAAAGCCAUGCAGGCUGCUCCCCUACUAACUGUCCUUCAGCAAUAGCAUGAGCUCUGGGCACAGGCUGAGGUGAGCUGUCUGUUACUCUGCUGUCUGCAGCAGCAGGUGCUUCUCCUCUCGGGCUUAUUUCACCCCUCCCUUUAAGAACAGUUUGGGCCUGAGAGGAGAUCAGGCAGCAUUUCCACAACUCCCAGCUGGUAUUAGUGGGCAUAACAGACCGUUCCUUGUGCUGGCGACCCUCGCCUGCUGCAAGCUGGCUCAUACCUGGGUCGAAGAAGAUGAUGGCUUUCAAGCAGGCAUAUUCAUUGUCGUCUAUCUGCAGCUCCUGGAAGGGGAGGACCAGCUCAUCCAGGAUGCGGAUGGCCACGCGGCUCACCUCUACCAGCUCGGGGCAGUUCCGAGGGACGAUGUGGUCGUUCCCUUUGGACAAGCAGCACAGAGACCAUCACCUUGGCAUUGCCCAGGCCUUCAUAAGGGUAGCAAGGAGUUCAAAAUCCAGGGGACUAAUGUUGAGGUAAUUUUACAAUGGAAGCCUUAAGAAGUUUAUGUUUCUGCCCCAUCCCUAGCAUGGCCCACCAGAAAUGCUGAUCUGAGUUGCCAGAGCGGCCUCUCGGGACUCACUCAAGCAAGAAGAAGCUGCUUGAGGAGCAAGAGCUGUUUUCUCAGCCAUACCACUGCCUGCUCGUGCUGACCUGAGGGAGUGAUGUGGAUGCUCACUGUCCCCCACGUUUGCCACAGCAGCAUGUCAUUGAUGUGAGUGUGAGCCAGGCCUAGCUACACCUAAAGCUUGUGCUUGGCUCCCUAAAACAGAGAAGGGCUCAAUCCACCACCCUGCGGAAAGGAUGCCUGCAGACACUGAGCCACCCACCCCUUUAGCCUGGCAGGGAAGCUUAGCAGAAGCAGUUGGUGGGGAGCAGAAGCGCACUCUUUACCUAGCAGCAAGACAUCCUUGAACACCAUGGACCUCUUGGCAACUCCCAGUAACAGAUGUUCACCUGCAUGUGCCCGCAGCAGUGCCACCUGUAAGAGUAGGGAUGUGUUACUUGGGUGAUGCAGAGACAGACACAAGGCUGAGCUGUGUUCAGUGGCCCAGGAUCGGAGGGCCAGGAAUGGUUCUUCCCCAGGUGCCUGUGUGAGAGGAGAUGAUAUUUUGCUUGCUCUUUAUCUCUGAGCAGUGCCCACGUCCUGCUGAAAUCCCACUCGUGGAGACCCACGUCUGCUGGCUGCUGGGGUCACCCUCUGGUCACCUGCUCCCUCUGCAGCAAUGGGCGUUUGGGCCAGGGAAGCCAAGGGGAUGUUUUUCUGCCCCGGCGUUAAUGAUUGAAGUGUUUCAUUUUACACCCUCCAUUGGCUCCUGAGAAUGUUCUGAAUCUUUUGCUCUCCUUCAGUUAAAAAUUUCAGAGAUUUAGGCAGAAACAGAAGUUAACAAUUGGACAGCCUGACACGGAGGCCUCUUAAUGUCCAGCCAGGAUCCUCUGCUGAAGAAAACAAUCAUUAAACAUUAAAGGAGAGGUUCUGAAAAGCGUGUCCUGUUGGGAAUGGUCCCCUUUCUCAGAGUAUUAUCUCUCAGCAUCUGACAAAGCCGAGCGAAGCCCUGCCCUGCCCAAAAUGUCACACGGAGAGCGUGUCAGAGGGGGAAGGAAGCACUGAUUAGAAAAGAUGCUGAUGUCUGAGAGAGGGCUUGUUUUUUUCAGGGGGUGUAAAAGAGUUGUGCAAAAUAAACAGAGUGAAGGUCCUUGCAAAAAGCCUAUGCACGCACGAUGCUGGGGAGCCUUUAUCUGUGUGCCAAAAUCUAGCCUGCCUCUAUCGCUAUCCAAACAUGGGUGGAUGUGUUCGCCGAGCUGCUUGUAAUUAGCAGAGCUGCUCAAAGCUGAGCUUCUCCGUCUGCCGAAAAUGUGAGCAGGUUGAAAGGACUGCGCUGCCCAAUGGGGCCUCGCGGAGAGCUCUCCUGCCUGCUACAAACUCAAGAAAAGCUCAGGACACGGAAACCCUGCUUUGUUUCCAUAGAACGUGUGGGUUUUUUUGUUUGAGCAGAGUUCGUGUCAUUUACUUCCAUGUGGCAAAACCCUCUGAAGUGGUAUUUGUUCUCUCGGUGAUCAGCCUGAGGCGCAUCGUCCCGUUCUCAGCCAGGGUAAACACAGAAGUUGUAACACAUCAAAGUGGAACCCCAACGAUAAAUAUAACAGUUGUAACACAACGGAGUCGAACUUUAACUUUGCAAUGGGAUGGCUUUGCCCCACCAAGCCCAGCGCUCCCACGUUUUGGUGCGGAGGAAAAAUGAGUUGGGUGGGACCUUUUGUGUGAAGGUGCUGGCAGAGAUGAUUCAUUCCCAGGCAGUAUUUCAGUGGCAAUGUACCAGCACUUCCCAGCGUUAAAUGUUCCCACCGGACAUGUCUUGACCAGCUGCCAUGCCCCUUGGGCAAUGGGCUUGUGUAUUUUUGCUCUCUCCUGCUCCCUGGCAUUUCCGUCCUCCCUGCGUUCUCUUAUUUGCUGUCUCUGUUCUCACACUGUGUCCCUCCAAAGCGUGGAUGUCAUUAAUUCCUUUUGAUGCAGCACGUCUUCCCUCCAAAGCCCUUUGGGAGCUGUCUGUUGUAGGAGAGCAGCUCAGGAUAACCAUAGCAGAAGACCUUCAGUGGUGGAGCUGAGUGCCUCCUCCCCUGUGGGAAGGGCUCGGAUGGCCUCUUUAGGUCUUGAUUUUACAAUGGUGGGGCUGCCAAACUUUUCUUCUGUUGAGAAGUCUGACAGCCCCGCGAUUGUAAAAUGAGCUCAUGUGGAAAUUGCUGUCGUUUGCAGAGCUGUUAACUGGGUUUACUGCCUGUGUUCCAAAGGCAGAAGGAUGCAGGUUAUGCAGCGCUGCCCUGGGCCUCUGCUAGGCUGCAGCCUCUUUGCUGUGCAAAUGUCACUGGCCAUUGGGCUCCAUUUUGUUUUUCAUCAUUCUUGAGUUGCAUUUGCUGUAGGAGUUUAGCAGACUGGCUAUUGCUUUGAACGAUGUAAUGCUUUCACAGAAUGGGGUUGGUGAGGGGGAAGGGAAGCAAGUGCUGUAAAAAGUCACUGAAUUCCCCGGAGCUGCUGGGUGAUCACUGAAGAUCUCAGCCCCAGGGCUUUGUGACCAGCUGGAUGCUCUCACUUUCUGUAACAGGACUGCAGACUGAUCCAGGCUGAGUUUUUGACUGCACAGUGGCUAAAUGGAAAUCCCUGAAUCCCUAUGUGGGACAUGAACCAUGCUGGCUGCCUCCAGAAGUGAUGUCCCUGCCCACCCCCUCACACGCCAGGGCACAGCCGUGUCCUGUAACAUCUGCUGCAGACCUCUGACGUUUGGGUUUGACAGGAAACACCUCCCUAUAUCUCUCUGAGGCUGCCUCAGGUCUUGCAGUGUUACUUUACAGAAGAAUUCAAGCCCACGGUGCUUACCCUGGUUAGGAAACUAGCAAAUGUCAUUUUGUCAUUUGUGUUAAACGCAGAUAUAUUCCUGCUUUUUAACUCAGAAGAGAUUUUCUUACUGCCUUGGGAGCAAAACAGUGUUUAGUUUCAAUAAUUCCACAGUAGGAGAACGGCUAGAAACGUAUCCCCUGGCAAGAAACAGAAAGAACGAUAGACAAAUAGUUUGAUUAAAGUGCUGAGCAGCCCUUGGGCGAGAA
This is a long non-coding RNA of Gallus gallus (chicken), 6933 nucleotides long. RefSeq lists it as uncharacterized. Lineage: Eukaryota; Metazoa; Chordata; Aves; Galliformes; Phasianidae. The transcript is spliced from 3 exons. The record is from RefSeq and is a predicted model, not a curated record.